Dioscorea cayenensis subsp. rotundata (Guinea yam) is the source of this 2974-nucleotide RNA transcript. RefSeq lists it as uncharacterized. Lineage: Eukaryota; Viridiplantae; Streptophyta; Magnoliopsida; Dioscoreales; Dioscoreaceae. The record is from RefSeq and is a predicted model, not a curated record. The transcript has 9 exons.
UCCUCAUCUUUUGAGUCUUUUUUGUUUUAAUUUUUUUAUUAUUACACUAUCCUUCUCAUCCGAGCAUGGUUGCAAGGGUGAAAUUAUUUACAUAUUUCCUUGUUUUAAAACAAACAGUUCCAAAUACUUCCUAUGUUCUUUCUCGUAGUAUGAUUAGUUAUUUGCAUAUAAAAUCUAUGAUUUGCAAUCAUAACAUCAUCUUUACCCAUUUAAAUGUCGAGCAUUUUAACAUAGCAAAUUCUUUGAAUAAAAUAGAACAAAUUGCAUCGAAGACACCUUUUUCCAAUAAACAAUACUAAGCUCUCUUUUUCUUAUCACAAAGUAAUGCAUUUUUUAUUUUCUUCAUUUAUAUGUAUCACAAAUAUAUUAUUAUCCAUGUUCAACUCCCAGGUUUAAAGAUUUUCUUGGCAUUCUAGAAAAUUCCAUGGUGCUCCUUAAUCUUCUGACAAUUGGCACAUAUUGAUUUAUUGUAUAUGGGAACAAAUAUCUGUAGUUAUAUUGAAAAUUUAAUCAUUAAGGUAACAAUUGUGGGUUUGCUUUUAUUUUUUAUUUUGUAGUCUCAAGACACUAUGGAUUUGAGUGAGAUGCUUCCCUUCAACAUGUCUCAAAUAUGCAGGGAAGUUUUGAGUAUAGGUGCCAACUUUUGCGUUUCAGCUGGGAACUCCUUGGAACCUGAGCAUUCAGGCUAUUGGAAAAACCAUUGCUUCUGGCUUGGUUUCCAAGGCCACCAUCACUGCCUUCUAGCAAGAUGGCCUCUGUGCCAGGCAUCUGAGGUUCAUUGAACCAAAUGAUUUCUUUGACUGAUGUCUUCACUUGUACUUAUUGCAGAUAAUAACUGAUAGAGGGGAAUCUCCUUCAGCAAGUCGUAAGCCUCACCACCGGGUUGAUCUAUCUCCUGCCAACUAAACAAAGAAAUUGGGUAAAACAGCCAUUUUAUGCUGAUGGUGAGAAAUCCAUUGACAUAUUACACCAAAUCCUGCUUUACAAACCUGGCUUUUGUGGUUGUUGUAGUUGAGUUUUUUUUUUCUAUCAAUGCAGAUCUUCUGAUGAUAAGAUUGUUAAAAUGUUUCCAUGCAUUUGUUGAAAUGAAGUGUUCCCACAGUGGUAGAUGUCGCAUUUUGAUCUACAAUUCUCAUUCUCCUUGUAGAGAUGCUGGUGAAGUUGCUGUUUUGAUUCUUGUAAUCAUCUGUGUGUUUUGGUGUUAAAUAAGAACACAGCUAUCUCCAAAAGGAAAUUGCCUGACAAAUGGAUUCCUCUGCAAAGAGUAAAGAGCUGAUAGAAUGUACACAUAGAAAGGUGCUGGAAUUGCGGGGAAUAUUGAGCCUGGACCCCGGAUAUGUCACUAUUAAGCGAAGCAUAUAAAAUGUUGUUGGUUCUGUGGACAGAAAACAACAGAGAAAUAACAAGCCAAGAGAGUUCAAAUAUAAGUGGGUUUUUUUUUUAUUCUACAAGAACUGGCAAAGGUAUUUAUACUCAGUGCGCGGCCCCCAAUGUCCGAAGAGAGAUUUCCAAGAGAGACAAGCGGAAAGCAUGGCAUCGCGGCCUCCCCCCGGUGACAACCUUCGUGAAUUGUACAUGGAACUUCUCCAGUUGACAAGCCAGCUGAUGGGGCUAAUUAAUCAGAACCCACAAAGAGCAAUAUCUAUCUUAAUGGCGUUCCCUGAGAUCGCUAGGUCUCUCUGUCGGGCAAUGUCGAUGCUGCACAGUGUGGGGCUCCCCCCUUACCUGCCUGUGGAAAUUGAUGAUCGAGCUGUAGCUGCUUAUCCUCCGCUACUGCCGCGGCCACCUUUGGGCCUACCAGCAAGGCCAGCUCCCAUGGCUCGACCACAGGUUCGGCCACCAAGAGCAGCUGCAGCAGAACCUGUCUUUGAUGCUGGGAAUGAUCUAGGAGAGUCAUCUUCUUCCCUUGAGGAAGAACUGCCUCCACCACCUAGCCAGACACCACCCAAGAGCACUCGAGGUGGAAAGAAAUGAAGGUUUUGACUGUGAGGGGGAGUGCAUCUGCAUCCUUUUGAACAAGCUGCCAUUCAUGUGGAUCCCCCAUAUUGUUCUAAUCUCAGCAAGUGUAACUCCAUACAUCCAACUUUGAAGUUCAACUUUACGAACUCCUUGCAACAUAGAAGAUCACCAUGGGCACCUAGGCUCCAGGAAAAAACAGUGCUUUCUAACUUAUGCCAGGGCUGCCACCAAUGCUUUCUUGACAGAUGACCAGUGGCAUGCAUCAGUGGUUCAUUGAGCUAAAUAACUUCGUUUACUGAUGCAUUCUCUUGUGCUUUUGCAUAUAUCACCUGAAAAAGAGUGAAAUCUUCUUUCGCUCGCUGUUAGAAAUCAACAAGAUCUUCUGAUGAGGUUGAUAGAAUGUUAUCUCUAUCAAGCUUUUUUGUUGAAAAGAUCUGGUCUAACAAUGCUAGAUGCUGUAGCUUGAUUUUUAAACUAGCCAAAUUUCUGAUGAUAAAAAAUGCUGAUCCUGUUGUGUUUGUCUUUGAAUUAGAGCCACAAUUUCCAAAAUCAAACUACAGACAAGUCGAUUGCUCUGCAAAGAGUAACGUACUGAGAGAUGCAUGGACGGACAUAUUGCAAGAAAUGUGCUGGAAUUGCAAAAGAAACUGAGGUGGCGGACAGAUAUAUCGCCCUGAAGCAAAUUGAACAAAAUCUGUUCAGGUAAGUUGAACUGGAUACCUUGAAUUGAUUCAAGUACAAUGAAUCUUCAAAUAAUGCAGGUAGACAACUUUCAUCAACAAUGCAGCCGGUGAUUGGUGUUGUGGACAUUUCGAAAACUUGUUAAUCUCUCUCUGUAUCGUGUAGAACACUGAAAAUGUCCAGGUUCUUGUACAUGUCGCAGCAAGCCAUUAUUCAACAACCGAGCUUGGCUGGGAUAUCAUGAGAAUUUAGACCAUCUGGCAAAGUAUCAUAUUGAAACUCAUAUUAUAUUAGCUAUAAAUUAGUUGAAAAUGAAUGUGUAUUUAUUCUUUUA